AUCCAGAUGAUCAGUCUCAAAUAGGACGAAACGCGUGUCUUGGAU
RNAcentral lists this non-coding RNA (45 nucleotides) under Schistosoma margrebowiei. Lineage: Eukaryota; Metazoa; Platyhelminthes; Trematoda; Strigeidida; Schistosomatidae. The record is from RNAcentral.